GAAAGCUGCCAUUAUCGAUUGCACACGAGGUCUAAUCGAUAUUGGCAGCUUCCAUG
RNAcentral lists this microRNA precursor (56 nucleotides) under Heligmosomoides polygyrus. RNAcentral describes it as "microRNA hpo-mir-10088 precursor". Lineage: Eukaryota; Metazoa; Nematoda; Chromadorea; Rhabditida; Heligmosomidae. The record is from miRBase by way of RNAcentral.